Molecule: transfer RNA, 70 nt
Filed under: Opius kraussi
Lineage: Eukaryota; Metazoa; Arthropoda; Insecta; Hymenoptera; Braconidae
Description: tRNA-Lys
Source: RNAcentral
CAUUAUAUAUCUUAAUUGUAAGAGUUGAAUUUUUAAUUCAAAAAUAAUAAAUUAUAUUUAUUUUUAAUGA